This 505-nucleotide ribosomal RNA is filed under the name uncultured bacterium. RNAcentral describes it as "partial 16S ribosomal RNA". It matches the Rfam family "Bacterial small subunit ribosomal RNA", at positions 28 to 507 of the family's 1533-position model. The record is from RNAcentral.
GACGAACGCUGGCGGCGUGCCUAAUACAUGCAAGUAGAACGCACAGUUUAUACCGUAGCUUGCUACACCAUAGACUGUGAGUUGCGAACGGGUGAGUAACGCGUAGGUAACCUGCCUGGUAGCGGGGGAUAACUAUUGGAAACGAUAGCUAAUACCGCAUAAUAUUGAUUAUUGCAUGAUAAUUGAUUGAACGAUGCUAUUGCAUCACUACCAGAUGGACCUGCGUUGUAUUAGCUAGUAGGUGAGGUAACGGCUCACCUAGGCGACGAUACAUAGCCGACCUGAGAGGGUGAUCGGCCACACUGGGACUGAGACACGGCCCAGACUCCUACGGGAGGCAGCAGUAGGGAAUCUUCGGCAAUGGACGAAAGUCUGACCGAGCAACGCCGCGUGAGUGAAGAAGGUUUUCGGAUCGUAAAGCUCGGUUGUAAGAGAAGAACGGGUGUGAGAGUGGAAAGUUCACACUGUGACGGUAUCUGACCAGAAAGGGACGGCUAACUACGUG